RNAcentral lists this ribosomal RNA (499 nucleotides) under uncultured bacterium. RNAcentral's name for it is "partial 16S ribosomal RNA". It matches the Rfam family "Bacterial small subunit ribosomal RNA", at positions 28 to 507 of the family's 1533-position model. The record is from RNAcentral.
GACGAACGCUGGCGGCGUGCUUAACACAUGCAAGUCGAACGGGCCUGUCUUCUUUUUUGGGGGUGGGUUGAGUGGCGAACGGGUGAGUAUCACGUGAGUAACCUGCCCUUCGGUCCUGGAUAACCGCUUGAAAGGGCGGCUAAUACGGGGUGGUCCGGUUGGUCCGCAUGGGCUGGUCGGGAUAGAUUCACUGUUUUUGGUGUUUCGGCGGGGGAUGGGCUCGCGGCCUAUCAGCUUGUUGGUGGGGUGAUGGCCUACCAAGGCGGUGACGGGUAGCCGGCAUGGGGGGGGGGGCGGCCAGAAUGGGACUGAGGUACGGCCCAGACUCCUGCGGGAGGGAGCAGUGGGGGGUAUUGCACGAUGGGCGGAAGCCUGAUGCAGCGACGUCGCGUGAGGGAGGGAGGCCUUCGGGUUGUGAACCUCUGUUUCCGGUGGUGAAGUCCCUGUCCGUGUGGUGGGGUUGACGGUAGCCGGGGAUGAAGCGCCGGCUAACUACGUG